GACGACAUACCGGAAAGAGGUUAUCUACCUGUGGAGGCCAAAUCAGAAGACCACGGAGAAGCUAUGCUUAAAGGUCUUCUAGUGUUUACUAAGCCAUUCCAGUGGAAGAUAGCAGGCUUUAUUUAAAGCGAGGAUUUCUCCCGUCUGCUUUUGGAGUCCCUCCACGGAGUGUCCAGUUGGCAGCCUUUCAAUAGCAGAGACCUUGACGUGCAGGACCCAUCGAGCCCUGCUAUCUUACUGCAGACCUAUGGGUAGACUUCGUAACAGGAAAGAAGAUGUUCUUGGCACCCAGGAGAAGACAAGACGGGAAAUUUAGGAACAACAGAAGUUGUAACAGAGAGUCAAGCAGCCAGCAGAGCAGCCAGCAGAGCAGCCACGACGAUGAUUCCAGCAGGUUCCUGAGU
This 404-nucleotide long non-coding RNA is filed under the name Rattus norvegicus (Norway rat). RNAcentral's name for it is "long non-coding RNA NONRATT027731". The record is from RNAcentral. Lineage: Eukaryota; Metazoa; Chordata; Mammalia; Rodentia; Muridae.